RNAcentral lists this unclassified non-coding RNA (323 nucleotides) under uncultured fungus. RNAcentral describes it as "partial contains 5.8S ribosomal RNA and internal transcribed spacer 2". The stretch from base 1 to 133 matches the Rfam family "5.8S ribosomal RNA", at positions 22 to 154 of the family's 154-position model. The record is from RNAcentral. Lineage: Eukaryota; Fungi.
UGGUUCUGGCAUCGAUGAAGAACGCAGCGAAAUGCGAUACGUAGUGUGAAUUGCAGAAUUCAGUGAACCAUCGAAUCUUUGAACGCACAUUGCGCCCCUCGGUAUUCCGUGGGGCAUGCCUGUUCGAGCGUCAUUUUACCCCUCAAGCACAGCUUGGUGUUGGGCGUCUGUCCCGCUCUCGCAGCGCGGACUCGCCCCGAAAUCAUUGGCGGCGAUCGCGCCGGCUCCUCGCGCAGCACAUUUGCGCGUCUCGGAUGCCCCGGCGGAUCGGCCAGCAAGCUACCCCACAAAUUGACCUCGGAUCAGGUAGGGAUACCCGCUGA